Molecule: ribosomal RNA, 710 nt
Filed under: uncultured bacterium
Lineage: Bacteria
Description: bacterial SSU rRNA
Rfam family: Bacterial small subunit ribosomal RNA
Source: RNAcentral
ACGGGUGAGUAACGCGUAAACAACCUGCCCCGCAGAUGGGGACAACAGCUGGAAACGGCUGCUAAUACCGAAUACGCUCCUCUUAGCGCAUGGUAAGAGGAAGAAAGGGUGGCCUCUGGAACAAGCUACCGCUGCGGGAGGGGUUUGCGUCUGAUUAGCUGGUUGGAGGGGUAACGGCCCACCAAGGCGACGAUCAGUAGCCGGUCUGAGAGGAUGAACGGCCACAUUGGAACUGAGACACGGUCCAGACUCCUACGGGAGGCAGCAGUGGGGAAUCUUCCGCAAUGGGCGAAAGCCUGACGGAGCAACGCCGCGUGAGUGAAGACGGCCUUCGGGUUGUAAAGCUCUGUUAUAGGGGACGAACGGCCGGGUAGCGAAGAGGUACCCGGCAUGACGGUACCGUAAGAGAAAGCCACGGCUAACUACGUGCCAGCAGCCGCGGUAAUACGUAGGUGGCAAGCGUUGUCCGGAGUGAUUGGGCGUAAAGGGCGCGCAGGCGGCUGUGUAAGUCUGUCCAGAAAGUGCGGGGCUAAACCCCGUGAGAGGAUGGAAACUGGACAGCUGAGAGUGUCGGAGAGGAAAGCGGAAUUCCUAGUGUAGCGGUGAAAUGCGUAGAUAUUAGGAGGAACACCGGUGGCGAAAGCGGCUUUCUGGACGACAACUGACGCUGAGGCGCGAAAGCCAGGGGAGCUAACGGGAUUAGAUACCCC